Molecule: small nucleolar RNA, 79 nt
Organism: Lolium rigidum
Lineage: Eukaryota; Viridiplantae; Streptophyta; Magnoliopsida; Poales; Poaceae
Product: small nucleolar RNA SNORD18
Exons: 1
Source: RefSeq, a predicted model, not a curated record
UGGAUGUGAUGAAGAAAAGUUGGUCCGUGUUUCUGAUGUCCAGUGACAGAUAACCAAUCUUCAAUAUACUUCUGAUCCU